This 442-nucleotide ribosomal RNA is filed under the name uncultured bacterium. Its description in RNAcentral is "bacterial SSU rRNA". It matches the Rfam family "Bacterial small subunit ribosomal RNA", at positions 360 to 793 of the family's 1533-position model. The record is from RNAcentral.
AAUAUUGCACAAGUGGGCGCAAGCCUGAUGCAGCCAUGCCGCGUGUAUGAAGAAGGCCGUUCGGGUAGUAAAGUACUUCAGCAGUGAGGAAGGUGGGUAUGUUAAUAGCAUACUCAUUUGACGUUAGCUGCAGAAGAAGCACCGGCUAACUCCGUGCCAGCAGCCGCGGUAAUACGGAGGGUGCGAGCGUUAAUCGGAAUUACUGGGCGUAAAAGCGCAUGCAGGUGGUUUGUUAAGUCAGAUGUGAAAGCCCGGGGCUCAACCUCGGAAUUGCAUUUGAAACUGGCAAACUAGAGUACUGUAGAGGGGGUAGAAUUUCAGGUGUAGCGGUGAAAUGCGUAGAGAUCUGAAGGAAUACCGGUGGCGAAGGCGGCCCCCUGGACAGAUACUGACACUCAGAUGCGAAAGCGUGGGGAGCAAACAGGAUUAGAUACCCUGGUAG